GGAUUAGAUACCCUGGUAGUCCACGCCGUAAACGGUGUCAACUAGGUGUUGCGGGUAUUGACCCCUGCAGUGCCGAAGCUAACGCAUUAAGUUGACCGCCUGGGGAGUACGGCCGCAAGGUUAAAACUCAAAGGAAUUGACGGGGACCCGCACAAGCGGUGGAGCAUGUGGUUUAAUUCGACGCAACGCGCAGAACCUUACCUGGGUUUGACAUCCCCGGACCCCCUAUGAAAAUAGGUUUUCACUUCGGUGACCGGGUGACAGGUGCUGCAUGGCUGUCGUCAGCUCGUGCCG
This 294-nucleotide ribosomal RNA is filed under the name uncultured bacterium. Its description in RNAcentral is "partial 16S ribosomal RNA". It matches the Rfam family "Bacterial small subunit ribosomal RNA", at positions 775 to 1067 of the family's 1533-position model. The record is from RNAcentral.